Molecule: transfer RNA, 83 nt
Rfam family: tRNA
About the family: Transfer RNA (tRNA) molecules are approximately 80 nucleotides in length. Their secondary structure includes four short double-helical elements and three loops (D, anti-codon, and T loops). Further hydrogen bonds mediate the characteristic L-shaped molecular structure. tRNAs have two regions of fundamental functional importance: the anti-codon, which is responsible for specific mRNA codon recognition, and the 3' end, to which the tRNAs corresponding amino acid is attached (by aminoacyl-tRNA synthetases). tRNAs cope with the degeneracy of the genetic code in two manners: having more than one tRNA (with a specific anti-codon) for a particular amino acid; and 'wobble' base-pairing, i.e. permitting non-standard base-pairing at the 3rd anti-codon position.
Source: Rfam
GCGGAUAUGGCGGAACUGGCAGACGCGCAAGAUUUAGGUUCUUGUGUCCUUGUGGCGUGGGGGUUCGAAUCCCUUUAUCCGCA